Molecule: transfer RNA, 61 nt
Filed under: Histeridae sp. BMNH 1274738
Lineage: Eukaryota; Metazoa; Arthropoda; Insecta; Coleoptera; Histeridae
Description: tRNA-Ala
Source: RNAcentral
GGGGUUAUAGUUAAUAAUAACAUUUAAUUUGCAUUUAAAAAGUACUGUAAAGUUAACCUUA